This 162-nucleotide small RNA is filed under the name Cellulosimicrobium sp. MM. Its description in RNAcentral is "c-di-AMP riboswitch aptamer (ydaO/yuaA leader)". It matches the Rfam family "c-di-AMP riboswitch aptamer (ydaO/yuaA leader)". From Rfam's summary of the family: This family represents a conserved RNA structure found upstream of the ydaO and yuaA genes in Bacillus subtilis and related genes in other bacteria. RNAcentral also lists the same sequence under 1 other name. Lineage: Bacteria; Bacillati; Actinomycetota; Actinomycetes; Micrococcales; Promicromonosporaceae. The record is from Rfam by way of RNAcentral.
GAGAGGCCAACGACGACCCGAUGACAGGGACGGGGGACCCAAUUUUUGGGUGCUGGAGACAGCGCCCUUGGGGUGAAGCCCGACGGACCUCGGUCCGGAGGGCCGGGUGACUCUUCCACCCGAACCCGACAGCUGACCUCGCAGGCGUCCAGGAGAGGCACC